GAUGAACGCUGGCGGCGUGCCUAAUACAUGCAAGUCGAGCGAACAGAUGAGGAGCUUGCUCCUCUGACGUUAGCGGCGGACGGGUGAGUAACACGUGGAUAACCUACCUAUAAGACUGGGAUAACUUCGGGAAACCGGAGCUAAUACCGGAUAAUAUAUUGAACCGCAUGGUUCAAUAGUGAAAGACGGUUUUGCUGUCACUUAUAGAUGGAUCCGCGCCGCAUUAGCUAGUUGGUAAGGUAACGGCUUACCAAGGCAACGAUGCGUAGCCGACCUGAGAGGGUGAUCGGCCACACUGGAACUGAGACACGGUCCAGACUCCUACGGGAGGCAGCAGUAGGGAAUCUUCCGCAAUGGGCGAAAGCCUGACGGAGCAACGCCGCGUGAGUGAUGAAGGUCUUCGGAUCGUAAAACUCUGUUAUUAGGGAAGAACAAAUGUGUAAGUAACUAUGCCCGUCUUGACGGUACCUAAUCAGAAAGCCACGGCUAACUACGU
This 496-nucleotide ribosomal RNA is filed under the name uncultured bacterium. RNAcentral's name for it is "partial 16S ribosomal RNA". It matches the Rfam family "Bacterial small subunit ribosomal RNA", at positions 28 to 506 of the family's 1533-position model. The record is from RNAcentral.